GGAGGGAGAAGGAGAAGGAAGCGAAUGCAAUUUUGUAGAAGAAAUGCAAGAUAUAGUAAAAUCUGUUAUUAAUUGCACAACCUCUUCCGUGUGUAUAGUGCCGAUCCCUAAGAUUGAGCCUGAGCAGUGUAUGAAGAUUCCUGGUGACUUUGUUGCUUUAGCGGCAUGCGUUGGGAUUGAAUUAACGGAGAGUGGCGUGUUAGACGAUAUGAGCGGCUUAAUGCCUUUUAUUCCUACUGAUAUUAUUGGCUAAAAUUACUAAGUAAAACAUAAUUUUACGAAGAUAAAUGUUCUAUUUAAUUUUGUAAGUUUUGUAAAUUUGCCUC
This is a long non-coding RNA of Centruroides sculpturatus (bark scorpion), 326 nucleotides long. RefSeq lists it as uncharacterized. The record is from RefSeq and is a predicted model, not a curated record. NCBI's taxonomy places the organism in Eukaryota, Metazoa, Arthropoda, Arachnida, Scorpiones, Buthidae. The transcript is spliced from 4 exons.